This is a long non-coding RNA of Chenopodium quinoa (quinoa), 1255 nucleotides long. RefSeq lists it as uncharacterized. The transcript has 4 exons. Lineage: Eukaryota; Viridiplantae; Streptophyta; Magnoliopsida; Caryophyllales; Amaranthaceae. The record is from RefSeq and is a predicted model, not a curated record.
ACAAAACCGUUCAUCUUUUACUCUCCAAUAAUUAAACCCUAGCCUUUCACUCAUUUCACUCCUCAAUUCAUCUAUCCAAAAUCGAAAACCUAGUAACAAAUUAAACUGAAAGAUGCUCUUUGAUUUCAUCAUGUUUGGUAUUCUAAUCGUUUUCCGGAAGAGGAGAUAAACAAAGCUGUGAUGUUGAAGUCUCUUUGACAACAACAGCUACGAAAAAAUACACAUUCGAAUGUUCACGCACUGACCCAAAUGUCGCUGAGCUCAUCCUCGCCUUUACUUUCGAAAUAUGAAGUGACUUAACAGGGGAAGGAUUCAUUACAUACACUAAGGCAAUUUAUCAGCAAGAGGUGUAAAGAGUAAGAGGAAAUUUUUUUAGCAAGAAAUCAAAAAAGCAAGAGGUGGCUGCUUACUUGGGAUCUUCACAGGUUAUCAAUCCCCACCAAUUAUUAUUGCUUCAUGUAAAUUCCUACUAUUAGAAAAAGUUGCAGGUUGAUUACUAUUUUCUGAUCAUCGUAUAUACACACUCAUAUAUAUAAGGUCGCUGUACUUUCCACAACUUUACAAGUAAACUAGUUCUCUAUUGAACAUACACCGACAAGGUAAAGGUAGUAAGGUACUAGUUUUCCCAUUUCUAUUAAAAUAUCCAUUGAACUGAAUAUUGAACUAUAUGAUUUGGUUGAUGCAAUCCCAUGUCCAUUAUAUGUAUAUAUGACAUAAUGUUUAAGUAAGAAAUAAAUAAUAUGCCUUGAAUUGAUUUUCCAUGUAAGAGGGGUUUAAGUGCAACAUCCCCCCUAUGAUUGCUCUGAAGCUAGUGAUAUUUAUUAUAUUUUAACUACCGUUUUCUAUUGAGCUGUGCGGUUUUCUGUCUUCUUUAUAUAGGUUUAUCAAAAACUUUGUUAACUCAAACUUGGAUAUGAGUGUCUAGCCCUACUGAAGUUUCAGGCCACACUAAACCACUAGUUCCUGCCAAUGAUCCAGAAACAUCAAAGGGUGUGUUGUGACUUCAAGGCCAACGAUAAUUGGUUACAAUGUGAGCUUUGCUUUAUGCCCCCUUGCGAGCAGAUUAAGGAAAAGCUAAAUUAGAGAUUGAUUGAAGUUUUUUGUGAUGAAAUUAGCAUAUUUGUUCCACUACAACUAGUUACGAAUUAAGUAUAAGUUGGAAUCAUGAGCAUAAGUUGUAAUAGAGAACUCAUUACUAUGAGAUAUUAUACAUGUACUAUAAUAUUUAUAUUAUAUGCAAUAAAAAAAAUUGGCC